UACGUAGGGGGCAAGCGUUGUCCGGAGUUACUGGGCGUAAAGCGCACGCAGGCGGUCUGCUAAGUUUGGUGUGACAGUUGGUGGCUCAACUUCCAAAGUGCUUUGAAAACUGACAGACUUGAGGACUUCAGAGGGACACGGAAUUCCGGGUGGAGUGGUGAAAUGCGUAGAGAUCCGGAGGACCACCAGUGGCGAAGGCGACUUACUGGACACAUAUUGACGCUGAGGUGCGAAAGCGUGGGGAGCAAACAGG
This 253-nucleotide ribosomal RNA is filed under the name uncultured bacterium. RNAcentral's name for it is "partial 16S ribosomal RNA". It matches the Rfam family "Bacterial small subunit ribosomal RNA", at positions 524 to 776 of the family's 1533-position model. The record is from RNAcentral.